Molecule: ribosomal RNA, 501 nt
Filed under: uncultured bacterium
Lineage: Bacteria
Description: partial 16S ribosomal RNA
Rfam family: Bacterial small subunit ribosomal RNA
Source: RNAcentral
AUUGAACGCUGGCGGCAGGCUUAACACAUGCAAGUCGAGCGGGGGAAGGUAGCUUGCUACCGGACCUAGCGGCGGACGGGUGAGUAAUGCUUAGGAAUCUGCCUAUUAGUGGGGGACAACAUCUCGAAAGGGAUGCUAAUACCGCAUACGUCCUACGGGAGAAAGCAGGGGAUCUUCGGACCUUGCGCUAAUAGAUGAGCCUAAGUCGGAUUAGCUAGUUGGUGGGGUAAAGGCCUACCAAGGCGACGAUCUGUAGCGGGUCUGAGAGGAUGAUCCGCCACACUGGGACUGGGGCACGGCCCAGACUCCUACGGGAGGCAGCAGUGGGGAAUAUUGGACAAUGGGGGGAACCCUGAUCCAGCCAUGCCGCGUGUGUGAAGAAGGCCUUAUGGUUGUAAAGCACUUUAAGCGAGGAGGAGGCUACUUUAGUUAAUACCUAGAGAUAGUGGACGUUACUCGCAGAAUAAGCACCGGCUAACUCUGUGCCAGCAGCCGCCGUAA